GCUGGCAUGGCUCAGUGGUUGAGCAUCGGCCUAGGAACCAGGAGGCCAUGGUUCAAUUCCAUGUCAGGGCA
Molecule: transfer RNA, 71 nt
Filed under: Myotis brandtii (Brandt's bat)
Lineage: Eukaryota; Metazoa; Chordata; Mammalia; Chiroptera; Vespertilionidae
Rfam family: tRNA
About the family: Transfer RNA (tRNA) molecules are approximately 80 nucleotides in length. Their secondary structure includes four short double-helical elements and three loops (D, anti-codon, and T loops).
Source: Rfam by way of RNAcentral